This 57-nucleotide ribosomal RNA is filed under the name Pyrofomes demidoffii. RNAcentral describes it as "partial 18S ribosomal RNA". It matches the Rfam family "Eukaryotic small subunit ribosomal RNA", at positions 1776 to 1831 of the family's 1831-position model. Lineage: Eukaryota; Fungi; Basidiomycota; Agaricomycetes; Polyporales; Polyporaceae. The record is from RNAcentral.
GAGGAAGUAAAAGUCGUAACAAGGUUUCCGUAGGUGAGACCUGCGGAAGGAUCAUUA